Molecule: transfer RNA, 68 nt
Filed under: Marisa cornuarietis
Lineage: Eukaryota; Metazoa; Mollusca; Gastropoda; Architaenioglossa; Ampullariidae
Description: tRNA-Asp
Source: RNAcentral
AAGAAGUUAGUUAAAAGAUAAUAUUAGAUUGUCAGUCUAAAGUCAUUAAUUUACUUUAAUAUUUCUUU